This is a long non-coding RNA of Archocentrus centrarchus (flier cichlid), 1431 nucleotides long. RefSeq lists it as uncharacterized. Lineage: Eukaryota; Metazoa; Chordata; Actinopteri; Cichliformes; Cichlidae. The transcript is spliced from 3 exons. The record is from RefSeq and is a predicted model, not a curated record.
CUUGUGUGUCUAGACCCAUAAUUUCACUUCUUCAGUUAAGAAGUGUAGGCAGACUACAUAACACUUUAAAGGUUCCGCGUUAAUGCGGUUUUGUAGUAUAAAAUUGGACUUGAGGAUUGUUGGCUCCUUUGUCCGGCUUUUUUACGCGUCGCGCCAGCGCAGCCGUUUGCGCACCUGAGUCCGCUGCUCAGCUUAUGCAGCCUUAACAUGACUUUACAUCAUCUGAGUCACUAAACUAUCAUGGAGAUCCUAUUUAUUAUUUGUUGUGAACCUUGGUGAAUGCGCAGUGUCUCACUGUGGAAUAACCGGAGUCCAGGUGUCACAAGGAAAGAGUCAAGGUGGCCGUCUGGAGGAGCCAGCUGGGAUUUGACAGAGCGCAGGAGUUUGGGAUGCAAGAGAAAACUUAGAGAGACAGCUCUCGGCCUCUUUUACCUGGAUUCAACUGAGUCAUGGCCUCUGAAGUGUUACUGCUGCCAGUAUGUCUUGCAGCUGGCUCCUUAUCUUCUGAGUAAAAUCUGGCUAGUUGCUCUCUCUGCCAUCUGCUUCACAAGGGAAUCCAAGUAAGAAUCCCAAGCAUACCUGUUCCGGUACAACAUCCUGUUCUUCGUCUACCUCAUCCAUCUUCUGUUUAUUUCCACUCUUCCCAGAGCCUACGAGCACAACAGUGUUACUGUAAAAUGCUUGUUGCCUUUAUGAGAGCAACAGUUUAGAUUUUGUUCUCCUCCACUGAGAAUUAAAUGACUUCAAAGGGAUGAAAAGCCAAAUACUGCAAUUAAUGACAUUAGAGAGUAAAUCACAAAAACCACAACAGCAAGUUGCAUAAGGUAUUGUUUGUCUCUAUAGUAAUGUAUCCUUGGGCGCACAGCCGCACCACAGCUUUUUAAAGCAAAAACACCUAAUGAAUUAUUCAUGUCACACAUUUGGUUGAAGUUUAUUUCACAGAUUUAACUGAGUCCUGCGAUGGACUCCGACCUGUCCAGGGUGUACUCCACCUUUCACCCUAUGGCAGUUGGGAUAGGCUCCAGCCCCCACCUGGAGAUCCUGAGUUAGGCAAGUGGUUAAGAAAAUUAAUGAAUGGAUUUAAGUGCUGCACAUCCUUAGAGAUUAAAAGACAAAAUGAAACAGACCAUCAAAAUAAAGCAGUGAAUUUAGCUCAGUUCCCUCCUAAUUCCCUCCAAAAACUGGAUAAGUGGAAGAAGUUGGAUGGAUGGAUGGAUGGAUGGAUGGGUGACUAAAAGAGUAGUGUAUGUGUGUCCUAUUUAAUUAAAGACUUAUAAAGAGUGUUUUAUAAGUUUGUGCUGUCAGUAUCUAAUAUCCACAGUAAGUUUGCAAAAAUUAAGAGUCUUGUGCUCAUUACAAUUUAUGAAAAUGAAGGAGGAUAUAAGUUUGUUUGUUGUGUGUUGUCUUAUGGAAAAUUAAUUAAACUCAAUA